This 484-nucleotide ribosomal RNA is filed under the name uncultured bacterium. Its description in RNAcentral is "partial 16S ribosomal RNA". It matches the Rfam family "Bacterial small subunit ribosomal RNA", at positions 30 to 507 of the family's 1533-position model. The record is from RNAcentral.
AUUGAACGCUGGCGGCAGGCCUAACACAUGCAAGUCGAGCGGAUGAAGGGAGCUUGCUCCUGGAUCCAGCGGCGGACGGGUGAGUAAUGCCUAGGAAUCUGCCUGGUAGUGGUGUAUAACGUCCGGAAACGGGCGCUAAUACUGCAGACGUCCUGAGGGAGAAAGUGGGGGAUCUUCGGACCUCACGCUAUCAGAUGAGCCUAGGCCGGAUUAGUUAGUUGGUGGGGUAAGUGCCUACCUAGCAGGGGAUCCGUAACUGGUCGGAGAGGGUGAUCAGUCACACUGGAACUGAGACACGGUCCAGACUACUAAGAGAGGCAGCAGUGGGGAAUAUUAGACAAUAGGCGAAAGCCUGAUCCAGCCAUGCCGCGUGUGUGAAGAAGGUCUUCGGAUUGUGAAGACCUUUAAGUUGGGGGGAAGGGCAGUAAGUUAAUACCUUGCUGUUUUGACGUUACCAACAGAAUAAGCACCGGCUAACUUCGUG